This 416-nucleotide unclassified non-coding RNA is filed under the name Hevea brasiliensis (rubber tree). Lineage: Eukaryota; Viridiplantae; Streptophyta; Magnoliopsida; Malpighiales; Euphorbiaceae. The record is from RNAcentral.
UCUUAUAAAAUGUAUAUAUCAUAAAAAAUUAUAAAAUUAAGAAAAAUAAAAGAAAAUUAUUAUUUUAUUUAGUAUUUUUAGGCUUAGAAAUUAUGUUAAUUAAUGUAAUUCACGUACCACGAAUAAAAUUGAUAUAAUUUGCGUACUGUGUACCGAAUUAACGUAUGAACUAGGUGUUCCCCUACAUACCCUAUAUUUAGAUAAAUGGAGUACCACGUACCCGUACUGGUACCACGAUCCAAGGCGUACAAUGUUCUAGGUAACUAUGGUAAAGAGUACUAGGUAGACAAACUCAAUCAUUGUAUAAGAAGGUCCUCUAAUAUUUUAUUCUUGAUACUAUUGUCUAAAGUUGAUGCAACUUUUCCUAUUUAAUUGUUCUCAUGAUUUCUUUACAGAGGAUGAUACAAGCAUACCUA